This is a long non-coding RNA of Solea senegalensis (Senegalese sole), 1130 nucleotides long. RefSeq lists it as uncharacterized. The record is from RefSeq and is a predicted model, not a curated record. Lineage: Eukaryota; Metazoa; Chordata; Actinopteri; Pleuronectiformes; Soleidae. The transcript has 4 exons.
GUCAAGUCUAUUGCUUAGUUACCACAAUGGUUUGACGAUGAUGAUGAAGUACUUAAAACAUAUGACUGAGACUAAAGCCAGACUGUUCUUUCUACAGCUACCCCACACUCCUGAGGAAUGUUGGCCUGGCCCCAACGACAGUGGCCCUGUAUGUGGGCCAGGCCAUCUCCUUCAUGGAGUAUUUUCGCGAUACACCCCCCAAACACUCCAGACUAAAGGGGGGUGAACAGACCCUGUUGAUCCGGGAAAUCCGGAAACUGUACAGGGAUGUGGGUUGCAACCUCCUUGGACACCAGCUGUUGGUCAAGCAGACCAAACAGCAGCGGCUGGUGUCCAAGGAGGACCCGACUGCCUGCCAGUCCCUGGCCAAAUCGAGGAUGGCCGGACUCCUCGAGGACAUUGCAAAUGCGCCCCCCCGGGACCCCAAAACGAGGUACCGCUUCUUCGGGUACCUGGCGGCCUACCUGUGCUCAAUCUAUGGACACCGGUCCGGUGUACUAACGAAGAUGAGGGCAGGUCAGGGAGGCCGUCGGGGACCCAAAGGCAGGGUACCUCAUUAAUGUCUUGGACCACAAGACUGUGAGGAAGUUUGAGGUGGCGCAGCUCUACCUGGAGCCCGAGGAGUACUCAUGGUUUACUGAAUGGCUCUGACUUCGCAUGAGAUCAUUGCCCACCAAGGGGUAUUUUUUCUCGUCCCUUGGCCGGGGGGAGGCAAAGGACUUAGUGAAGUACUUCCGGGCGGCGUGGGCAGAGAUGGGCUUCCAGGGAGCGCCCACUUUAAUGGACGAGGUCGGCGGUGUCCACCUAUAACUUCGAAUCCAAUGAUACUGAGGUGCGGGACCACGUCGCCACUUUCAUGUGCCACAACGUGAAGACCCAGGAAAGGUUCUAUGCGCUUCACAACACACUGAAGCGGGCGAAGCAGAUGAGAGAGCUGUUCGUCAGUCUCUCCCUGAGACGAGGCGAACGAGCGCUCUCAUCCCCUUCUGCCUCCUCCGCCGACCCCUCCAAAGCAGUGGAGGAGUCCAAGGUGACGCCACGGAAGAAGCCAUCCGCUUCACAGAUUUUAGCAAAAAAGGUGAAAGUGAAGCUGGGGUUUAGCCCGAGAAAAAAAUAUCCCAAAAGGAAAU